AACGAACGCUGGCGGCAUGCCUAACACAUGCAAGUCGAACGAAGCCUUCGGGCUUAGUGGCGCACGGGUGCGUAACGCGUGGGAAUCUGCCCUUGGGUUCGGAAUAACAGUUAGAAAUGACUGCUAAUACCGAAUGAUGUCUUCGGACCAAAGAUUUAUCGCCCAAGGAUGAGCCCGCGUCGGAUUAGCUAGUUGGUGAGGUAAAGGCUCACCAAGGCGACGAUCCGUAGCUGGUCUGAGAGGAUGAUCAGCCACACUGGGACUGAGACACGGUCCAGACUCCUACGGGAGGCAGCAGUGGGGAAUUUUGGACAAUGGGCGCAAGCCUGAUCCAGCCAUGCCGCGUGAGUGAAGAAGGCCUCGGUUGUAAGAC
RNAcentral lists this ribosomal RNA (373 nucleotides) under uncultured bacterium. Its description in RNAcentral is "bacterial SSU rRNA". It matches the Rfam family "Bacterial small subunit ribosomal RNA", at positions 29 to 431 of the family's 1533-position model. The record is from RNAcentral.